This 402-nucleotide ribosomal RNA is filed under the name uncultured bacterium. RNAcentral's name for it is "bacterial SSU rRNA". It matches the Rfam family "Bacterial small subunit ribosomal RNA", at positions 29 to 416 of the family's 1533-position model. The record is from RNAcentral.
AGCGAACGUUAGCGGCGGGCCUAACACAUGCAAGUCGAACGCGAAAGGUCUUCGGACUGAGUAGAGUGGCGCACGGGUGAGUAACACGUAGGUAAUCUACCCUUUGGCGGGGGAUAACGUUCCGAAAGGAGCGCUAAUACCGCAUAAGACCACGGAGUCUCCGGACGCUGUGGGAAAAGGUGGCCUCUUCUUGAAAGCUACCACCGAAGGAUGAGCCUGCGUCCCAUCAGCUAGUUGGUAAGGUAAUGGCUUACCAAGGCGAAGACGGGUAGCUGGUUUGAGAGAAUGAUCAGCCACACUGGCACUGGAACACGGGCCAGACUCCUACGGGAGGCAGCAGUGAGGAAUAUUGGGCAAUGGGCGAAAGCCUGACCCAGCCACGCCGCGUGAGUGAUGAAGGCC